CAGUCGAGCGGAUGAAUGGAGCUUGCUCCAUGAUUCAGCGGCGGACGGGUGAGUAAUGCCUAGGAAUCUGCCUAUUAGUGGGGGACAACGUUUCGAAAGGAACGCUAAUACCGCAUACGUCCUACGGGAGAAAGCAGGGGACCUUCGGGCCUUGCGCUAAUAGAUGAGCCUAGGUCGGAUUAGCUAGUUGGUGAGGUAAUGGCUCACCAAGGCGACGAUCCGUAACUGGUCUGAGAGGAUGAUCAGUCACACUGGAACUGAGACACGGUCCAGACUCCUACGGGAGGCAGCAGUGGGGAAUAUUGGACAAUGGGCGAAAGCCUGAUCCAGCCAUGCCGCGUGUGUGAAGAAGGUCUUCGGAUUGUAAAGCACUUUAAGUUGGGAGGAAGGGCAUUAACCUAAUACGUUAGUGUUUUGACGUUACCGACAGAAUAAGCACCGGCUAACUUCGUGCCAGCAGCCGCGGUAAUACGAAGGGUGCAAGCGUUAAUCGGAAUUACUGGGCGUAAAGCGCGCGUAGGUGGUUUGUUAAGUUGGAUGUGAAAGCCCCGGGCUCAACCUGGGAACUGCAUCCAAAACUGGCAAGCUAGAGUAUGGCAGAGGGUGGUGGAAUUUCCUGUGUAGCGGUGAAAUGCGUAGAUAUAGGAAGGAACACCAGUGGCGAAGGCGACCACCUGGGCUAAUACUGACACUGAGGUGCGAAAGCGUGGGGAGCAAACAGGAUUAGAUACCCUGGUAGUCCACGCCGUAAACGAUGUCGACUAGCCNUUGGGAUCCUUGAGAUCUUAGUGGCGCAGCUAACGCAUUAAGUCGACCGCCUGGGGAGUACGGCCGCAAGGUUAAAACUCAAAUGAAUUGACGGGGCCCGCACAAGCGGUGGAGCAUGUGGUUUAAUUCG
Molecule: ribosomal RNA, 898 nt
Filed under: Pseudomonas sp.
Lineage: Bacteria; Pseudomonadati; Pseudomonadota; Gammaproteobacteria; Pseudomonadales; Pseudomonadaceae
Description: bacterial SSU rRNA
Rfam family: Bacterial small subunit ribosomal RNA
Source: RNAcentral